Molecule: transfer RNA, 82 nt
Organism: Colletotrichum gloeosporioides Cg-14
Lineage: Eukaryota; Fungi; Ascomycota; Sordariomycetes; Glomerellales; Glomerellaceae
Rfam family: tRNA
About the family: Transfer RNA (tRNA) molecules are approximately 80 nucleotides in length. Their secondary structure includes four short double-helical elements and three loops (D, anti-codon, and T loops).
Source: Rfam
GGCGUGGUGGCAGAGUGGUCUAAUGCGCAAGACUCGAAAUCUUGUUCUUUCGGGAGCGUCCGUUCGAAUCGGGCCCACGUCG